Molecule: ribosomal RNA, 719 nt
Filed under: uncultured bacterium
Lineage: Bacteria
Description: bacterial SSU rRNA
Rfam family: Bacterial small subunit ribosomal RNA
Source: RNAcentral
CUGGCGGCGUGCUUAACACAUGCAAGUCGAACGGUGAAGCCCCGCUUGCGGGGUGGAUCAGUGGCGAACGGGUGAGUAACACGUGAGCAACCUGCCCCUGACUCUGGGAUAAGCGCUGGAAACGGCGUCUAAUACUGGAUACGAGACGUGAUCGCAUGGUCAACGUUUGGAAAGAUUUUUCGGUUGGGGAUGGGCUCGCGGCCUAUCAGCUUGUUGGUGAGGUAAUGGCUCACCAAGGCGUCGACGGGUAGCCGGCCUGAGAGGGUGACCGGCCACACUGGGACUGAGACACGGCCCAGACUCCUACGGGAGGCAGCAGUGGGGAAUAUUGCACAAUGGGCGCAAGCCUGAUGCAGCAACGCCGCGUGAGGGAUGACGGCCUUCGGGUUGUAAACCUCUUUUAGCAGGGAAGAAGCGAGAGUGACGGUACCUGCAGAAAAAGCACCGGCUAACUACGUGCCAGCAGCCGCGGUAAUACGUAGGGUGCAAGCGUUAUCCGGAAUUAUUGGGCGUAAAGAGCUCGUAGGCGGUUUGUCGCGUCUGCUGUGAAAUCUGGGGGCUCAACCCCCAGCCUGCAGUGGGUACGGGCAGACUAGAGUGCGGUAGGGGAGAUUGGAAUUCCUGGUGUAGCGGUGGAAUGCGCAGAUAUCAGGAGGAACACCGAUGGCGAAGGCAGAUCUCUGGGCCGUAACUGACGCUGAGGAGCGAAAGGGUGGGGA